AUGUAAUGGAGUGUGUGUCUCGUGUUGCAAGUUUAGUUAACAAUAAUUUAUGAAGCUAGCCGCGAUUACAAAAUAAAUUAGGGUAGUCGUUAAAACGCACUGUAGCCUAUACGUUGCGAAAUGAUAAUUGUCGGACAUAUUUUUCAGCCUAUAUCCGGAUACAUUGUGGUUUUUAUUUAUCGGUCGAAGUGCACUAGUGCAGUAAACAAAUUGAACUUCAACCGUCAUAGUUAGUUGCGUUUGAAUUCAACUGACCCAACUCCCAAGUAUUCGGCGAAUGGCUGGGUUCCUUUCUCAGCUGAAUCACGAAGCCAUUUGUACAGACAACAUUUUCUGCGAACAUUUGCUAAUUUGACUGAAUAAUCUGUCUUAAUUCUUUUCUAAUUUUGUUAUUAAUAGGGCAUUGCGUAUUUAUCCGUUGUACAUAGAAAAACUCGUCGGUAGAAGAAAUUUCGUCGAUGCCAGACCACAUUCUUUUUGGCUUGUGCUAGGGAUACUAGAAACACGAUUGAAAUUGAAACAUCGGCAUGGGCCAUGAAGCACCGACCGAUCGAUUAUAGCGCCCCUAGCGGCGUGUGUCGGUGGAAUAGCCAAGUAUGCAUUUUGAGCUCCGACAGGCUGUCGGUGCAAUAGAAUUUAGUCAAUUUACGGGAUGUUUCAGUUGUCCUAGAGGCUAGAUAUAAUUUUUUAUGUUUUUCCGUGUAAUUGGACUCACGAACUGUUUGUUGUCCUUGUUCGGCCAUCCCAUUAUGCGUCCUAAACGUGGUAAUCCAGUGAGUGACGUUGCUGACGUCGUGAAACUAACUUUAAGUUCAUUGAGGCCUGCUCUGUAACGAUGCAUCACCUAAUUAUCCAUCAUCCUUAUACUUUAUCUACAUUCACUGAUGUUGUUCUUCUAGACAAUAAUGUGUAGGUAUAAAGGAAAAGUCGCUUGAAAGGUACGUGUGUAUUGCUCUUUCCAAAAUCCUUUCUGUUUCUAUUCAAGCUUUGUUAUCCCUGGUAAACAAAACUUUUGUGAUAGCUUAAGAAAGGAUAAAAUAUCCAGAGAACAUUGAAGCUCCAAAUGUUAUAUUUUAUUCUUCAAAUGAAUCAGAUAGCUUUUUUGUGUCUUCAGUGUUUUUGUGGUGGGGAGAUAAGCGUUUCUCAUUAGUAAUUAGAGUUUCACGUUGCGGUGAUUAGCUACGAAUGAUAAUUUAUUUAUACCGACCCAGUCUGAAGGACAGUGUUGAAUGCUAAGGUCAGUGACAUUUCAAUGACA
This 1258-nucleotide long non-coding RNA is filed under the name Daphnia pulicaria. RNAcentral describes it as "uncharacterized LOC124338417, transcript variant X2". The record is from RNAcentral. Lineage: Eukaryota; Metazoa; Arthropoda; Branchiopoda; Diplostraca; Daphniidae.